AGUGGCGGACGGGUGAGUAACCCGUAGAUGACCUGCCCUGUAGCGGGGAAUAACAACUCGAAAGAGUUGCUAAUACCGCAUGUGUUCUCUCUUGUUGGAGAGAGAAGAAAUCUGCCUCUUGAUCGAGGUGGAGCUAGAGGAGGGGUCUGCGGCGGAUUAGCUAGUUGGUGGGGUAACGGCUCACCAAGGCAGCGAUCCGUAGCUGGUCUGAGAGGACGGGCAACCACACUGGGACUGAGACACGGCCAGACUCCUACGGGAGGGAGAAGUAAGGAAUAUUCCGCAAUGGGCGCAAGCCUGACGGAGCGACGCCGCGUGAAGGAGGAAGCCCUUCGGGGUGUAAACUUCUUUUCUUCAGGAUGACACGCUUUCUCCAAGUCUCCUCCAAGAGGGGACCGGUGAGGGAUCUAGGACAGUACCGAAGGAAUAAGCCUCGGCUAACUACGUGCCAGCAGCCGCGGUAAUACGUAGGAGGCGAGCGUUGUCCGGAUUUACUGGGCGUAAAGGGCGCGCAGGCGGCCCACCAAGUACGGUGUGAAAUCUCCCUGCUCAACGGGGAGGGUGCAUUGUAAACUGGUGAGCUAGAGGACGGUAGAGGGGGGUGGAAUUGCUGGUGUAGCGGUGAAAUGCGUAGAGAUCAGCAGGAACACCCGUGACGAAGGCGCCCCCCUGGGCCGUACCUGACUCUGAG
RNAcentral lists this ribosomal RNA (691 nucleotides) under uncultivated soil bacterium clone C006. RNAcentral describes it as "bacterial SSU rRNA". It matches the Rfam family "Bacterial small subunit ribosomal RNA", at positions 94 to 750 of the family's 1533-position model. The record is from RNAcentral.